This 228-nucleotide long non-coding RNA is filed under the name Elaeis guineensis (African oil palm). RNAcentral's name for it is "long non-coding RNA (EGUI_LNC060930)". The record is from RNAcentral. Lineage: Eukaryota; Viridiplantae; Streptophyta; Magnoliopsida; Arecales; Arecaceae.
UUAACCAUGUGCUAGCAUGGUUCUCUUAGACCCAAUAGGGUUUCAAUAAAUCCUAACUCAAUUAGAAUUUCAUAAGCCCAAUUAACAAAUUCAAGAUUAAAUUCCUUAAUGUGUAACCCCAUAGAUUCUAUUCUAUUUGAUAGUGAGAUAUAUUAUGAUCUCCAUCACAAUAUCAUCGAAAUUUUUUUCGAUGGGUUGAAAUAUUUUCAAUUCUACUCUUCGAGGAUC